AUUAAAACACGCAUGUAAAAAUGUUAAAUAAAGGGCUCUGUCUUUAUAUAGGCUUGUCUUUUAAAGUGUUUAUUCCUCUACAAAACUUAAUAUAACUUCCACUUGUAUGUGUUAAAAAACAGGCAAAGAAGCAGCCGCCUUAUCUCUGAUCUACUGGUUUACAGAGGCUGUUUUUGCUGACAGCUGCUCUGCUGCAAAAGCCUGCUGUCCUUACUAAAAAAUGACCAGUGCUAGCCUAAACCUAGGGAAAAACUUUCUGUGUUUUUAAGCCUGGGUUGUUUCUGCGGAUUUGCAUGUUAUUGAAACACCUGUGCCUGAGAGGCUAAAUGAAGGUUAUGGGUCUUCAGGAUUGGUUCAGGAAAAUGAAUUCUAUGACGCUGCUGUAAAACCACCUCUGAUUGGGCCGAUCCAAAGGAAUUGAUAACAAGUGUGAGAGGGUCUGAACCAGAAAAGUUGCCUCAUUCUACAGAAAGACUUCAAAGGGUUAAACCAGAAAAGCUGCCUCGUUUUACAAAAAGACUGC
Gopherus evgoodei (Goodes thornscrub tortoise) is the source of this 523-nucleotide long non-coding RNA. RefSeq lists it as uncharacterized. Lineage: Eukaryota; Metazoa; Chordata; Testudines; Testudinidae. The record is from RefSeq and is a predicted model, not a curated record. The transcript is spliced from 3 exons.